AAAAGACGCAUCUCCGUGAAAUCCUCAAACAACAGAAACAAUUAAAAAAAUAAAAAGAAAAAUCGCCAGCAUGCCGGAGCCGAUUGACAGCGAGCCUCAGUCGUAAGCCGGCUCUCACUGUCAUAAACGAAACGCGUAGCCUUGACUGUACACCACAUAACAAUUUUUUAAUCCACAAUAUUAUUCUAUAAUUAAAAAAGAAAAGGAAAAUUACCAAUUUUUAUAUAUAUAAAUCCAGAAAAAGCCGGCCUGAAAGGGUUCAGUGCUUCG
Molecule: unclassified non-coding RNA, 270 nt
Filed under: Hevea brasiliensis (rubber tree)
Lineage: Eukaryota; Viridiplantae; Streptophyta; Magnoliopsida; Malpighiales; Euphorbiaceae
Source: RNAcentral